This is a small nuclear RNA of Talpa occidentalis (Iberian mole), 104 nucleotides long. The record is from RefSeq and is a predicted model, not a curated record. NCBI's taxonomy places the organism in Eukaryota, Metazoa, Chordata, Mammalia, Eulipotyphla, Talpidae.
AUGCUUACUUUGGCAGCACUUUUACAAAAAUUGGAAUGAUACAGAGACCAUUAGCAUCUGCAUAUAAGGGUGACAUGCAAAUUCAGCAAUCAUUCCACAUUUUU